CCCCGGGGCGACCGUCGGCUGAGGGGGGAAGGAGCUCCGCUGCUGGAAUGGCGGGCGGCGGUACGCCGGCGGGUGGCAUCCUCCAGAGGACCUGCAAGAAGCCGGUGGCCGGGGUUCCCGGCGCCGGCCCUCCGAUGCUUAAGUCAGAGGAAAAAAUAAGAGGGAAAAAAGGAGGAGGAUAUUUCUUUUUCGGGUUUUUUUGUCUCCCUCUUCCCCCCACGGAGGGGUUCCCCUUUAUAGAGGGAUAUUAUAUUACCUGGGAGGUGACGGGGCAGAUUGUUCUCUUUGUGAUAAUUGAGCACGAUCAUGUACA
Molecule: long non-coding RNA, 313 nt
Filed under: Phoenix dactylifera (date palm)
Lineage: Eukaryota; Viridiplantae; Streptophyta; Magnoliopsida; Arecales; Arecaceae
Description: long non-coding RNA (PDAC_LNC003497)
Source: RNAcentral